GGAAGUAAAAGUCGUAACAAGGUUUCCGUAGGUGAACCUGCGGAAGGAUCAUUACCGGUUUCGUCCCAAGUCUGGUGGCCGCAAAACGCUCCAAGCCCCGGUAGGACGAGCUGGUGGAGGGGCGUCGGAGCGGCGGGCCAACCCCACCGGCGACGGUGCGCGUCCGGGAGAGAGGGACCAGGAGCUGUCACAGCCUCCCCUCUCUCCCGAGGCGACUCUGCGUGUCGGUGAGGACCUGGUACCCGUCGCUGCGCUCCGCCCCUCCACCUAUCACCACCUGCCCUCCCGAGGCUCCAAGGGCGGCAGGGUGCCGCCGGGCCUCCGCCGUGCCCCCUACGCCCUCGACCUGCUCGGCCUUUGGGCCGGGGAGGCUGGGAUGCGGGACACAACAGCGCGGUCGUCCCGACUCCCCUGCCGUCAUCCGAAAGCACCGGAGGCACGCCAAGCCGACCCAACUCCGUAAGCCCGUAGCUCGCCAAACUCCCGAUACCCUGUGCGCCCCGUGGGUCCGAAACUUUCCCGCACCUAUAUAGCAACCCCCACCCUAGACAGGGGGGGUCGUGGUGACAGGGCUGUGGACGGCCGGCGGGACCGGGGUUACGGGGGGGGAAGGGAGUUGCGGGACACGGAGAUGCCUGGCGUGUGCUCCGAGCGAAACUCCGUGCGCCCAUAGCUCGCUGCCCCCCGUUACCCUGCGCGCCCCGUCGGUCCGAAACUGCCCCGCGCCUAUACAGCGACCCCCACCCUAGACAGGGGGGGUCGUGGCGACUGGGCUGUGGACGUCCGGCGGGACCGGGGCUUCGGGGGACGGAGGUGCGGGACGCGGAAGAGGCCCGGUGCGCUCCUUCGACGCCCUAGGACCCUUGAACCUCGUAGUCCGGGCCCGGCUUCCCCGCCGACAGGUGCGUUCCCUUCCCCCGGCUCUCUCUCCUUUCCUCCGUCAGCGCGACGUCCCGUCGGGGCUCGCCGUGUGCCGCUCGGCGCGGGAGGAUCCCCUCCGUGGGAACUCCCCGCCGGUUGGCUGGCCCCCGCCGGGCGCAUUUCCUCCGCCGGUGGUGCGCCGCGACCGACUCUGGAUCGGCCAGGAAGGGCUCGGGGCGAAGGUGGCUCGCGGCUCCGGCCGCGAGCUUUACAGCGACCCAACGCCUGGACCUCGCCGCUUUCCGGGGUCGUGGAAUCAGUACUCACUGCGCCUUCUCUCCUCCGCCUCGCGCCUCCGUCCCCCUCCUCGUGGGGGGGGCGGGGGACUGGGCGGCCCACGGGAGAGAUCGGACGAAGUACAUGUUUGAAAAGUGCAGAGGUUUUUGACCCUAAUAGCUUUCACUUUACAUUGGUAAAGUCUUACUCGAACACAAAAAUUCUGCUUGCUUGCAAUCAUUUAGGUUUGUACUGCCCCCUAUUGCCAGGGAAAGUACACACCGUCACUUUAAAUUUGUCCACAGAGCUCACAAACAGAAGGUUUCUAUCCUGUGUGGACACUCAUGUGCUUGUUUAA
RNAcentral lists this long non-coding RNA (1495 nucleotides) under Nothobranchius furzeri (turquoise killifish). RNAcentral's name for it is "lncRNA (ENSNFUG00015009027.1)". The stretch from base 1 to 54 matches the Rfam family "Eukaryotic small subunit ribosomal RNA", at positions 1778 to 1831 of the family's 1831-position model. Lineage: Eukaryota; Metazoa; Chordata; Actinopteri; Cyprinodontiformes; Nothobranchiidae. The record is from RNAcentral.